RNAcentral lists this ribosomal RNA (430 nucleotides) under Pseudomonadota bacterium. RNAcentral's name for it is "Proteobacteria bacterium partial 16S ribosomal RNA". It matches the Rfam family "Bacterial small subunit ribosomal RNA", at positions 355 to 776 of the family's 1533-position model. The record is from RNAcentral. Lineage: Bacteria; Pseudomonadati; Pseudomonadota.
UGGGGAAUAUCGGACAAUGGGGGGAACCCUGAUCCAGCCAUGCCGCGUGAGUGAAGAAGGCCUUAUGGUUGUAAAGCACUUUAAGCGAGGAGGAGGGUACUGGUAUUAAUACUACCAGGUACUGGACGUUACUCGCAGACUAAGCACCGGCUAACUCUGUGCCAGCAGCCGCGGUAAUUCAGAGGGUGCAAGCGUUAAUCGGAAUUACUGGGCGUAAAGCGCGCGUAGGUGGUUCGUUAAGUUGAAUGUGAAAGCCCCGGGCUCAACCUGGGAACUGCAUCCAAAACUGGCGAGCUAGAGUAGGGCAGAGGGUGGUGGAAUUUCCUGUGUAGCGGUGAAAUGCGCAGAUAUAGGAAGGAACACAAGUGGGGAAGGCGACCACCUGGGCUCAUACUGACACUGAGGUGAGAAAGAGUGGGGAGCAAACAGG